RNAcentral lists this ribosomal RNA (399 nucleotides) under uncultured bacterium. Its description in RNAcentral is "bacterial SSU rRNA". It matches the Rfam family "Bacterial small subunit ribosomal RNA", at positions 28 to 420 of the family's 1533-position model. The record is from RNAcentral.
GAUGAACGCUAGCGGCAGGCUUAAUACAUGCAAGUCGAGGGGCAGCAGGUCUGUAGCAAUACAGAUGCUGGCGACCGGCAAACGGGUGCGGAACACGUACAGAACCUUCCUUUAAGCGGGGAAUAGCCCAGAGAAAUUUGGAUUAAUACCCCAUAGUAUAUUGAAGAGGCAUCUCUUUAAUAUUAAAGAUUUAUCACUUGAAGAUGGCUGUGCGGCUGAUUAGGUAGUUGGCGGGGUAACGGCCCACCAAGCCUGCGAUCAGUAACUGGUGUGAGAGCACGACCAGUCACACGGGCACUGAGACACGGGCCCGACUCCUACGGGAGGCAGCAGUAAGGAAUAUUGGUCAAUGGACGCAAGUCUGAACCAGCCAUGCCGCGUGAAGGAUGAAGGUCCUCU